RNAcentral lists this ribosomal RNA (75 nucleotides) under Giardia muris. Its description in RNAcentral is "small subunit ribosomal RNA". It matches the Rfam family "Eukaryotic small subunit ribosomal RNA", at positions 1758 to 1831 of the family's 1831-position model. The record is from RNAcentral. Lineage: Eukaryota; Fornicata; Diplomonadida; Hexamitidae.
GACGAACCGCGAGGCUUGGAGGAAGGAGAAGUCGUAACAAGGUAUCCGUAGGUGAACCUGCGGAUGGAUCCAUCG